UACGAAGGGUGCAAACGUUGCUCGGAAUUAUUGGGCGUAAAGCGCGUGUAGGCGGUCCGGUAAGUCCGCUGUGAAAGUCGGGGGCUCAACCCUCGGAUGCCGGUGGAUACUGUCGGGCUUGAGUACGGAAGAGGCGAGUGGAAUUCCUGGUGUAGCGGUGAAAUGCGCAGAUAUCAGGAGGAACACCAAUUGCGAAGGCAGCUCGCUGGGACGUUACUGACGCUGAGACGCGAAAGCGUGGGGAGCAAACAGG
RNAcentral lists this ribosomal RNA (253 nucleotides) under uncultured bacterium. RNAcentral describes it as "partial 16S ribosomal RNA". It matches the Rfam family "Bacterial small subunit ribosomal RNA", at positions 524 to 776 of the family's 1533-position model. The record is from RNAcentral.